UUAUAAGUUCCAUGCAUGCAUACAUGACCCACAUUUUGACCGCUCGAGCAACCAAAUUAACUGCUAAUUAAUAAAAGAAAAAAUGAAGGGUACUGUUUUGUCGUCCAUAAUGGUACUGCUGAUCGUCAUCGUGUCUUUUCAGUCGAAGACUACCGACGCCACCUCCUUUCUCGUCGGCGAUGGUGACUGUCGUCCAUAAUGGUACUGCUGAUCGUCAUCGUGUCUUUUCAGUCGAAGACUACCGACGCCACCUCCUUUCUCGUCGGCGAUGAUGACGGUUGGGGGUUGAAAGCUGGCAAUUGGGCUCAGGGAAUGAAUUUGCGUGCCGGCGACACACUUAGUAAUCCUCAAAUCUCUCUCUUUCUCUCUCUCUCUCUCUCAACCCAUCAUCGUCACAUUUUCGCGAAACCCGGACCUUUUCAAAUGGAAUUAAUUCGCAGCUGAAUUCCAUCCGAAUUGGUCGGGUCUGAAAAAAUGUAUUUGGCAGGAGGGACGGAUUUAAGGGGUGACUGUCCUAAAUACGUGCCUUCUCUUUUUCGAUGAUAAGAGUGACAAAUUCAUUAUAAAUUAUAAAUUUUUUUAUUCAGUAAUAUUUCAAAUUUAGUUACAUACCAUUUUCAAUUCUAAAUCCGUCAUUAUUUGCGGAAUUGGUCACAACUAAUUCUGCCUCUAAUUCCAGAGAGCAAAACGUGGCCCUAAAAAGAUCAUUUAAAAUAAAAUCAAAGUGGGAUCACAUUUUCCAUUCUUUCGCCUCCAAUUCCGGCCAGAAUUUGGAUUCAGGGCGGAAUUGACAGGAUUUUCAAUUCAAGACUUCUUCAAAUGGAAUUCAGCAACUGGAAUUUUUGGCAAAUUCCGGGUCAAUUCCCCCUCCAAUUCCGGCCCGAUAAACGUGGCCCAUAUUUAUAAUAAAAGAAAUAUUAAAAAUUAAAUUUUGAAAUCCUUAAUUGUUUUGUAAUUAUUAGUUUAAUAAUUUGUUGUCGCAUGCAUGCAGUUUUCAAGUACGACCCGGAUAAAUACAACGUGGUGGCCGUUGACAGUGAGGAAACUUACAAUAACUGCAAAACUCCGCCGG
RNAcentral lists this long non-coding RNA (1072 nucleotides) under Linum usitatissimum (flax). Its description in RNAcentral is "long non-coding RNA (LUSI_LNC006019)". The record is from RNAcentral. Lineage: Eukaryota; Viridiplantae; Streptophyta; Magnoliopsida; Malpighiales; Linaceae.